UUUCUUCUACAUAACAAUAAUUCGUAUCUACACCAUACAAUAGCCUAUAUUCUUUCCUGUAUCAAUUGUGUGUUGACCGUGAUCAGAUUUGCACUUGAGCUUCUCUCUACAGAUAUGACACCUCUGAACUUGUGUUUUGUUUUCCUAGUAGUCUCAUUGUUUUCAACUUCAGUGUCAGCUGGACCUAAUCGAGGAAAGUAUUUGCCCAGAUACCCAGUAGGCGAAGAAACAGAAAAAA
Molecule: long non-coding RNA, 238 nt
Organism: Nilaparvata lugens (brown planthopper)
Lineage: Eukaryota; Metazoa; Arthropoda; Insecta; Hemiptera; Delphacidae
Exons: 2
Source: RefSeq, a predicted model, not a curated record